AGAGUUUGAUCCUGGCUCAGAACGAACGCUGGCGGCAUGCCUAACACAUGCAAGUCGAACGAAGCCUUCGGGCUUAGUGGCGCACGGGUGCGUAACGCGUGGGAAUCUGCCCUUGGGUUCGGAAUAACAGUUAGAAAUGACUGCUAAUACCGGAUGAUGUCUUCGGACCAAAGAUUUAUCGCCCAAGGAUGAGCCCGCGUAGGAUUAGGUAGUUGGUGGGGUAAUGGCCCACCAAGCCGACGAUCCUUAGCUGGUCUGAGAGGAUGAUCAGCCACACUGGGACUGAGACACGGCCCAGACUCCUACGGGAGGCAGCAGUGGGGAAUAUUGGACAAUGGGCGAAAGCCUGAUCCAGCAAUGCCGCGUGAGUGAUGAAGGCCUUAGGGUUGUAAAGCUCUUUUACCCGGGAUGAUAAUGACAGUACCGGGAGAAUAAGCUCCGGCUAACUCCGUGCCAGCAGCCGCGGUAAUACGGAGGGAGCUAGCGUUGUUCGGAAUCACUGGGCGUAAAGGGCGCGUAGGCGGCUUUGUAAGUCGGGGGUGAAAGCCUGUGGCUCAACCACAGAAUUGCCUUCGAUACUGCAUGGCUUGAGACCGGAAGAGGUAAGUGGAACUGCGAGUGUAGAGGUGAAAUUCGUAGAUAUUCGCAAGAACACCAGUGGCGAAGGCGGCUUACUGGUCCGGUUCUGACGCUGAGGCGCGAAAGCGUGGGGAGCAAACAGGAUUAGAUACCCUAGUAGUCC
RNAcentral lists this ribosomal RNA (742 nucleotides) under uncultured bacterium. Its description in RNAcentral is "bacterial SSU rRNA". It matches the Rfam family "Bacterial small subunit ribosomal RNA", at positions 8 to 796 of the family's 1533-position model. The record is from RNAcentral.